UUGUUAUUCAACUGACAAUGAUGAACACCUUAUUUAAGCCAUAUACAGUUAUCCCUGUCAUAAGAAUAAUUGAUGAUAAAAUAAGCUGACGUAAAAUGUUCAUUAUUAUGAUUAAUUGUUUAAAUAUAUAAACUAAUGAUCAGUUUUUUUUCAGAUAGUUUUUACAUUUGGAAAUAGUAUCUGUCUUAACUUCGAAACUUCAAAGGAAAAAAGAUAAAACAUUCAAAUGGAAAUAUAUUGAAUUGAGCUUGAAAAUAGAUGAAUACUCCAAAAUAGCUCCUUUAGAAUUUACAUUAUCUGAUUAUAAAAAACGUGGGACUCCGUCAGUGUUAUGGGUGUUUUUCUUGAUCCCUGUAAUCAAUGUAAAAGUACAAUCUGAUUUGAAUAAAAAUGCUAUUUUGUUGUAUUAUAA
Long non-coding RNA from Drosophila sulfurigaster albostrigata, 412 nucleotides. RefSeq lists it as uncharacterized. The transcript has 3 exons. NCBI's taxonomy places the organism in Eukaryota, Metazoa, Arthropoda, Insecta, Diptera, Drosophilidae. The record is from RefSeq and is a predicted model, not a curated record.